CAGCCGGAUGCACUGAGCUGAAAACAUAAUUAGAGGGAUUCUUGGGAGUACAGUCCUCCUUAUCUGACUCACCAUCCCCCUUGCUUGUUUCUUGGUGACUAACCAAAAGGAUCAGGUCAAUUUGCUGAAAAAUUGUCCUCUCCCUGAGAAUUACUGUCUCCAGAAAAAGGAAAUAAGUAAUCAAGCAAUUAGUUCUUAUUGUAUAGCAGCCACCAUAAUGAAUGUGCUGCAAAGAAAAUGAGAAUUUUGUGACACUGUGACAGAAUGUGCUCCUCAAUUCACAUGCUGAAUAUUUCAUAAGCCAAUCACCCAUGUUAUCUUUAGUUUCUCUACCAUAUUAAAAUUUCACCACUACUCUUGUUCUGCUACCUCCAGGUGUGAAACUCACCCUCCUGUCUCAAGCCUCCAGGGUGAGGAAGAGAGGAUAAGGUGUCAUGGACACACACCAACCAGUCAACUGCACCUUGAGCUCCGUGUUCAAAUCCCCUAAGGCAAUGGAGACAGUUCAGGUCAGUUCAGUUCUUCAGACUUGUGUCCAGCUGUCCUUCUGUACUACACAGUGAGGGUGCAAUCCAGAAAAUGUGGAUACUUGCGUCAUGCUGUUUGAGUGUGAAUAAAUGUCAGCACUGCAGCACUGCCACCACCCACCUAGUCCACCAACCAUCUCUCUCCUCCACUGGUGGAUGAUCUCCUGUUGACAGGCCAAGCGUUAUUAUAAUGGUUUCAGGGCUAAGAGGAAAACUACUGCUCUUCACAGCAGAUGUCUUUUCAAAUCCUGACAAAACCACCCACAGAGAUGAGGAGAAAAUACUAUCACUGUACUCAGCUGACCCGGAGCAUACAUGUCAGUAGUCUGUGAAUGAUAGACAAUGUCCAAAGCUAGCAAGGACGCAUGCGUGCUUCCAGACUUACGUAAAUAACAUCUGUUUUUUAUGCUCAAGUUUGGUGUUCACCUGCACAGACUGUAUUUCCCUGAGGGGUGGGGUGGAGGGCAAGAAAGGAUUAGUAUUUCUUUUUUUUUUUUAAAUUAACUUUAAAUUUUUACUUUAAUUUAUAGAUUUAAUGUCCACAUUACACCUCAAAUUUUUCAUAUGGUAGAUCAAUGUCAGGCAUUAACCCCUUUGAAUACCAAAUAUGAUUGGUGAAGUUGACCACAAGCUUAACCCUAGUGUGAUGUGACUUCUGAGAUGACGAAUGUUGUGCUCAGACUCUGAAAGCGGCAGUGCAGAAAUCCACUUAACAGCCAACUCAUGAAGUGACUGGUGUCAGGCUGAGGAGUGUGAAUGAAACACGUUCCAGUCUGAAACAUUU
Long non-coding RNA from Thunnus maccoyii (southern bluefin tuna), 1311 nucleotides. RefSeq lists it as uncharacterized. NCBI's taxonomy places the organism in Eukaryota, Metazoa, Chordata, Actinopteri, Scombriformes, Scombridae. The transcript is spliced from 3 exons. The record is from RefSeq and is a predicted model, not a curated record.